Molecule: ribosomal RNA, 181 nt
Filed under: uncultured bacterium
Lineage: Bacteria
Description: partial 16S ribosomal RNA
Rfam family: Bacterial small subunit ribosomal RNA
Source: RNAcentral
CGUGAAGUUGGAAUCGCUAGUAAUCGCGGAUCAGCAUGCCGCGGUGAAUACGUUCCCGGGCCUUGUACACACCGCCCGUCACACCAUGAGAGUCGGGAACACCCGAAGUCCGUAGUCUAACAGCAAUGGGGCGCGGCCGAAGGUGGGUUCGAUAAUUGGGGUGAAGUCGUAACAAGGUACC